CCCUUAAAAUGUGUCAAAACUAUUUAACCAUCUCCCUCUACGCCACUUUCUUUUUAGCAGAGCGAUUGAUUUUUCAUUCAUCCCAGAAGUCUCAUUCCAAGUGCACAAAUGGAAGAGCCAUAUGUGGAUCGUUCAAGCUUACCCAGGCUGCAUCCUUCUCGGUUAAAUGGAGCUAAAUGGUUUAAACACCACACCCAAGUAUCAACCGUUGUCUGAAAGGUCAUCCAAAGUUGUUUUAAGGGACCAUGGUACUCAUGGAAAAGAGUGCCGGCCUUCUACAAGAGAACUUGGUUUUCUCUCUUCAUGAAAAAGUUUAACUGGGAUGCUUCUAUCAACUAUCAAGUUGAACGAGAGUUCACUAAGCUUGCUGCAUAUCGCCUCAAAGGAAUGAUAAGCCAUGCUAAGAAGGGAGGAGAAAAACCAGAUUGGAUUUUGUCUGAUUAUUGGACGAUUAUGCAAGCACAUUGGGCAACAGCAAAAGCAAAAGCAACCAGUGAGAAGGCUCGUGCUUCUCGAAUGUCUGAUCGCAAUGGUUUAGGCCACAUUCCCACCUAGCUGGUUCACGUUCAUAUGUCAAAGUUCAAGAUGUUUUGGAAGCAAACAAUGAAGACUGCUCCUUUAUUGCUGUGAUGAAGAAAACACAUCAAAAGCCUGAUGGGACAUACGUUGAUCAACGAGCACGUUUGGUGGCAGAAACUUAUGAGAAGCAUGUACAAGAACGCUUGGGACAACUAGAAAUUUCUGGUGAAGAGAAUGUGACACCUGAAACUCUUGACAAGAAUGAGAAAAAUGAAAUUUAUAUGAAGGUUGCAGGAUCAUCUAAACAAGGGCAUAUCUUUGGACUUGGAGCGAUAAGUGAAGCUUUACCAUCUGUUGGUGCCUCUUCAAGUGCACCACAAACUGAAGAAGUAGAGACGAUAACACAUCGACUAGAAGAGAUGGAAGCUGAUCUUAAAAAGAGUCUUGAAGAAAAUCAGCAAAUUCAGAAAAGACUUGAAGCUAUGGAAAAACUUGUUGAGGCUUUUGCAAGUCAAAAUGCCUAGAUCCUACUCCACCACCAAGAGGUCCAAGACUGUCCAUUCCCCCUUAUCUAGUUAUUAUGGUUUCUAUGUAUCUUUGCUAUUGUUUAGUUUGUAUUUUCUUUAAAUUGUGUUUAUGGAUUAACUUUGUAUUUGGAUGUUAGUUUGUUAUGUAAAUAUUAUCUUUUACUUGUUA
This is a non-coding RNA of Camelina sativa (false flax), 1215 nucleotides long. The record is from RefSeq and is a predicted model, not a curated record. Lineage: Eukaryota; Viridiplantae; Streptophyta; Magnoliopsida; Brassicales; Brassicaceae.